UAUCUCUGUAGAGUCUGCAUAUCAAUAAGCGGAGGAAAAGAAACUAACAAGGAUUCCCUUAGUAACGGCGAGUGAAGCGGGAAGAGCUCAAAUUUGAAAUCUUCAAGGUUCUACCUUGACGAAUUGUAGUUUAAAGAAGUGUUUUCUGUUAGAUGAGUAGCAAAAGUUCCUUGGAAUGGGACAUCAUAGAGGGUGAGAAUCCCGUAUUUGGUUAUUCAUUCUAGCUUUGUGAUACACUUUCAAAGAGUCGGAUUGUUUGGGAAUGCAGUCCAAAAUGGGUGGUAAAUUUCAUCUAAAGCUAAAUAUUGGCGAGAGACCGAUAGCGAACAAGUACCGUGAGGGAAAGAUGAAAAGAACUUUGAAAAGAGAGUUAAACAGUACGUGAAAUUGUCAAAAGGGAAGCGUUUGACACCAGUGUUGUUUUUCCGAAAAUCAAUUACGAAUGGCUUGAUUUUGUGUUGUAUUGACCUUAUCAGCUUUCUGCACUUUUUUCGAGUCUUUCUUAAUGCACUUUUCGGUUAACAAGUCAACAUCAAUUUCUUUUGUUGUAAAAGAGUAUUCGGAAGGUGGCUUUCUUUUCGGAGAAAGUGUUUAUAGCCCUUAUACUUCUACAAUCGGAGAGAUUGAGGUCUGCAGCGUAGAUCCUUCGGGGUUAGAUACACUUGUGCUAAGUUGUAGCUUUUCAUAGACAACUUGUUGACUAUGUUUAGUCAUGCGGCUUACUCGCUUAUGCUAUUUUACCUACGCUUAGGAUGUUGACUGAUAUGUAGUCGUA
This 775-nucleotide ribosomal RNA is filed under the name uncultured Neocallimastigales. RNAcentral's name for it is "partial large subunit ribosomal RNA". It matches the Rfam family "Eukaryotic large subunit ribosomal RNA", at positions 24 to 644 of the family's 3401-position model. The record is from RNAcentral. Lineage: Eukaryota; Fungi; Neocallimastigomycota; Neocallimastigomycetes; Neocallimastigales.